Molecule: ribosomal RNA, 331 nt
Filed under: uncultured eukaryote
Lineage: Eukaryota
Description: partial 18S ribosomal RNA
Rfam family: Eukaryotic small subunit ribosomal RNA
Source: RNAcentral
CCCUUAGAUGUUCUGGGCCGCACGCGCGCUACACUGUUCGACGCAGCGAGUCUUAACCUUGACCGAAAGGUUUGGGUAAUCUUCAGCAAAGUCGAACGUGAUGGGGAUCGAUCAUUGCAAUUAUUGAACGUGAACGAGGAAUUCCUAGUAAGUGCAAGUCAUCAGCUUGCGCUGAUUACGUCCCUGCCCUUUGUACACACCGCCCGUCGCUACUACCGAUUGAAUGGUUUAGUGAGAUCUCUGGAUUGACGCUGGCUAGGGGGCGACCCUUGGCCAGACUGUUGAGAAACUGCUCAAACUUGAUCAUUUAGAGGAAGUAAAAGUCGUAACA